GUGUUCUCUUUGGCAGCACAUAUACUAAAAUUGGGAUGAUGCAGAGAAGGUUAGCAUGGCCACUGUGCAAGGAUGAUGUGCAAAUUCAUGAAGCUUUUUAUAUUUCU
Molecule: small nuclear RNA, 107 nt
Organism: Myotis lucifugus (little brown bat)
Lineage: Eukaryota; Metazoa; Chordata; Mammalia; Chiroptera; Vespertilionidae
Source: Ensembl